GCCUAGGUAGCUCAACGGUAGAGCAAUGGUUUUGUAAACCAUAGGUUGGGGGUUCAAAUCCUCUCCUAGGCUC
RNAcentral lists this transfer RNA (73 nucleotides) under Parcubacteria group bacterium ADurb.Bin159. RNAcentral's name for it is "tRNA-Thr". It matches the Rfam family "tRNA". From Rfam's summary of the family: Transfer RNA (tRNA) molecules are approximately 80 nucleotides in length. The record is from RNAcentral.